GGGAUUGCCCUAGUAACGGCGAGUGAAGCGGCAACAGCUCAAAUUUGAAAUCUGGCGUCUUUGGCGUCCGAGUUGUAAUUUGCAGAGGGCGCUUUGGCAUUGGCAGCGGUCCAAGUUCCUUGGAACAGGACGUCACAGAGGGUGAGAAUCCCGUACGUGGUCGCUAGCCUUUACCGUGUAAAGCCCCUUCGACGAGUCGAGUUGUUUGGGAAUGCAGCUCUAAAUGGGAGGUAAAUUUCUUCUAAAGCUAAAUACUGGCCAGAGACCGAUAGCGCACAAGUAGAGUGAUCGAAAGAUGAAAAGCACUUUGGAAAGAGAGUUAAAAAGCACGUGAAAUUGUUGAAAGGGAAGCGCUUGCAGCCAGACUUGCCUGUAGUUGCUCAUCCGGGUUUUUACCCGGUGCACUCUUCUAUAGGCAGGCCAGCAUCAGUUUGGGCGGUUGGAUAAAGGUCUCUGUCACGUACCUCCUCUCGGGGAGAACUUAUAGGGGAGACGUAAUGCAACCAGCCUGGACUGAGGUCCGCGCAUCUGCUAGGAUGCUGGCGUAAUGGCUGUAAGCGGCCCGUCUUGAAACACGGACCAAGGAGUCUAACAUCUAUGCGAGUGUUUGGGUGUCAAGCCCGAGCGCGUAAUGAAAGUGAACGGAGGUGGGAACCUUUCGGGGUGCACCAUCGACCGAUCCUGAUGUCUUCGGAUGGAUUUGAGUAAGAGCAUAGCUGUUGGGACCCGAAAGAUGGUGAACUAUGCUUGAAUAGGGUGAAGCCAGAGGAAACUCUGGUGGAGGCUCGCAGCGGUUCUGACGUGCAAAUCGAUCGUCAAAUUUGGGCAUAGGGGCGAAAGACUAAUCGAACUAUCUAGUAGCUGGUUCCUGCCGAAGUUUCCCUCAGGAUAGCAGUAACGUUUUCAGUUUUAUGAGGUAAAGCGAAUGAUUAGAGGCCUGGGGGUUGAAACAACCUUCACCUAUUCUCAAACUUUAAAUAUGUAAGAAGUCCUUGUUACUUAAUUGAACGUGGACAGUUGAAUGUAUCGUUACUAGUGGGCCAUUUUUGGUAAGCAGAACUGGCGAUGCGGGAUGAACCGAACGCGGGGUUAAGGUGCCAGAAUAUACGCUCAUCAGACACCACAAAAGGUGUUAGUUCAUCUAGACAGCAGGACGGUGGCCAUGGAAGUCGGAAUCCGCUAAGGAGUGUGUAACAACUCACCUGCCGAAUGAACUAGCCCUGAAAAUGGAUGGCGCUCAAGCGUAUUACCCAUACCCCGCCGCUGGGGCAAGAUUUAAGCCCCAGCGAGUAGGCAGGCGUGGAGGUCCGUGACGAAGCCUUGG
This 1324-nucleotide ribosomal RNA is filed under the name Boeremia linicola. Its description in RNAcentral is "partial 28S ribosomal RNA". It matches the Rfam family "Eukaryotic large subunit ribosomal RNA", at positions 71 to 1414 of the family's 3401-position model. The record is from RNAcentral. Lineage: Eukaryota; Fungi; Ascomycota; Dothideomycetes; Pleosporales; Didymellaceae.